This is a long non-coding RNA of Cottoperca gobio, 1959 nucleotides long. The record is from Ensembl. NCBI's taxonomy places the organism in Eukaryota, Metazoa, Chordata, Actinopteri, Perciformes, Bovichtidae.
GCACAGCAGCUCUGCAAAACCUGGCAACAAGUUGUUUUUAGGGGCCUUUUCUCACUUUUGGCGCAUUGAUUUUUGCAUCACUUUGGAUUUUGCCGCUGUUUCUUCCAUUCUUUUGUAUUUUGUUUUCUAAAAAUGCACAGCGUCUUCUUAGAUUUUUCUCCGCUGAUGGGUUUCUAGUAGUAUUUAUUCAGUUUCUUUCUUUUUUUUGGAUGGAAAUUUGUCAAGGUGUUGUUUCGCCAUGUGAUGGGCCUUGUUCCACCUGGACUGUCGGGGCGCCAUUUCUGACGGGUAACCUGCUCGGGGUGGGCUCGUUGUCUGGAUGACCACUGUGGAUGACAAGCAGAGAAUGUGACCGGUAUCUGUGCGCGGUACACAUAUGUGUUUUAAAGACCUGUCCUUCUUCAGCGACUGGCGUGAAGUAUCGCACCUCUUUCGUCUUUACUCUGUUUCUCCUUCUAUUUCCUUCCCAUGUCCUCUCUCUCUCUCUCUCUCUCUCUCUCUCUCUCUCUCUCUCUCUCUCUCUGUGUGUGUCCGCCUCUCGCUCCCUCUUGUUCCCUCUCUUUCACACCGACUCGCUCUCCUAACAGGAGAAUGAGUGGUGUGCUGAGCCGGAUCUCUUUCUGGGACAGGUGCCAACUGCAAAGAAAAGACAUUAAAAGGCCUCACCAGGCCUAGACCCAGCCGGUGGCAGGCGAGCCGUGCAGCCCUGAGCUUGGGGCUCAGACUGUGGCUGGAAGAGAGAAUGAGGCUGGAGCUGAGGCACGGCUGUGAAGGGGGCAGUCUGAGGGGGGAAAUAAGAAAGAACUACCGAAACGGGAGCUUAUGGCAUUCUCCUCUUCUUGACAGAGAUGUGGAUCAAAGCGGGAAGAGCUGCCGACUUUUGCAUCCCGACUGGACAUUUACCAUCUCCGGCACUGAGAUGGGUUUUGACUUCAGCCACAGGCACAGAAGAAAUUGGCCAACAAGGCCAGACAGACUGGCGAUCGCAGCAGCAUUAAGUAACGAAGGCUACCUGACAUGCUGCUGAAACCCUGAUGGAAGGAUUUGCUGCGUGUUACAGAGCAGUGGCUGUAAUCUCAUCACAUGCCGUUGUUGGAGCUUUUGGAUCUGGAUCAACGCUGGAAUGUGCGUGUUUACCCACUGACUGCUAAGAACCUUUACAGCCUUUGAUAGCGGUGAGUCAUUUAGGGUUGUGGCUGCGUUACACUGUUUUCUCAUUGUUUUCACUUGAAGACUUUGUGGUCAAUAAAACAUGUUUUGUCAGAAGUGUUUUGCUGGUUGUUUGUGUGCCAAAUAAACUCCAUUAAAAAUCAUUUCUUUAUGCACAAACCUGCUCUUCUACUUUGUCAAAGCUCUCUUGCAAUGUUACUGUUUAAGAAAUGAAAACUCGACUUUGUUUUAUUGUCUGUAAAUGUAAGUUGCUUUAUAUGUGAAUUAAUGUAAGUCAAAUGUACAAGGGUGUUUUUAUGCACAGCGUUUAUAUGUCACUCCACCUCGAAGUCGCACCAAAGCUUGCCAACCUGUACGACCUCUCUGAUGUUCGAACAGGGUGAGGUAGUAGGUUGUGUGGUUUCAGGGUAAUGAUUUUGCCCAAUAAGGAGAUAACUAUACAACCUACUUCCUUCCCUGAAGGGCAGCAAUACAUCACUAUACAGACUGCAGAGGGGGCGUCUUGCUCCCAGCAUCAGAAAAACUUGACCCUGAUCUACAAACCUGACCCUGAGCCACCAGUCCACUUCUUACCUGGAACGUACACAUCCACAGCCAAUCACAGCAACAGAGAGGACCUGCAGGUAAAGCCUGUUCACUGUGGGAUUUGUGUUUGAUUCGUUUUUUUCUGCUUCAAACUUUAAUAAAGAAUAAUAUCAUAAAUCAGUUUGUCUUUGCCCGUUUAUUUCAGUUCUUAUACUUGUUCUCACAUCCUGUUAGUUUCAAUUGCAAUCAUGUGUGUAUAUAUAU